AGUGAACGCUGGCGGUAGGCCUAACACAUGCAAGUCGAACGGCAGCACAGUAAGAGCUUGCUCUUACGGGUGGCGAGUGGCGGACGGGUGAGGAAUACAUCGGAAUCUACUUUUUCGUGGGGGAUAACGUAGGGAAACUUACGCUAAUACCGCAUACGACCUACGGGUGAAAGCAGGGGAUCUUCGGACCUUGCGCGAUUGAAUGAGCCGAUGUCGGAUUAGCUAGUUGGCGGGGUAAAGGCCCACCAAGGCGACGAUCCGUAGCUGGUCUGAGAGGAUGAUCAGCCACACUGGAACUGAGACACGGUCCAGACUCCUACGGGAGGCAGCAGUGGGGAAUAUUGGACAAGGGGCGCAAGCCUGAUCCAGCCAUACCGCGUGGGUGAAGAAGGCCUUCGGGUUGUAAAGCCCUUUUGUUGGGAAAGAAAAGCAGCAGGUUAAUACCCCGCUGUUCUGACGGUACCCAAAGAAUAGGCACCGGCUAACUUCGUGC
Molecule: ribosomal RNA, 493 nt
Filed under: uncultured bacterium
Lineage: Bacteria
Description: partial 16S ribosomal RNA
Rfam family: Bacterial small subunit ribosomal RNA
Source: RNAcentral